Molecule: ribosomal RNA, 433 nt
Filed under: uncultured bacterium
Lineage: Bacteria
Description: bacterial SSU rRNA
Rfam family: Bacterial small subunit ribosomal RNA
Source: RNAcentral
UCGAGGAUCUUCGGCAAUGGGCGCAAGCCUGACCGAGCGACGCCGCGUGCGCGAUGAAGGCCUUCGGGUUGUAAAGCGCUGUCGAGGGGGAGGAAAGCCGCAAGGCCUGACCUAUCCCUGGAGGAAGCACGGGCUAAGUUCGUGCCAGCAGCCGCGGUAAGACGAACCGUGCGAACGUUGUUCGGAAUCACUGGGCUUAAAGGGCGCGUAGGCGGCCGGGCAAGUCGGGGGUGAAAUCUUUCGGCCCAACCGGAAAAGCGCCCCCGAUACUGGCCGGCUCGAGGGGGGUAGGGGCGGACGGAACUUCCGGUGGAGCGGUGAAAUGCGUUGAUAUCGGAAGGAACGCCGGUGGCGAAAGCGGUCCGCUGGGCCCCUUCUGACGCUGAGGCGCGAAAGCCAGGGGAGCAAACGGGAUUAGAUACCCCCGUAGUCC